GGGGGGAAGCCUACCUUUGGCUGUUGUUAUAGGAUCAGCACAUGCCUUCUGAGAGCAGGAAUGCGGUCAGUCUGACCCCAGGAGGACAAACGCAGAGAACCUGAGGCGUCCUACAAGCGCUUCCUCUUUGUGUUUCCCUCAGACCCCUGCGCAGUCAGGGCAGGCUGUCUCAUUCUGAACACAGAACAACUCUAUGGAGAAGGAGGGCGACCUAUCCGUACCUUGACUGUAGAAGGCAACUGAGACCCAACAUCUCAAGGGCUUGCCCAAGACCCUGAGGCUGAGGGGGCAGGGCUGGAGGUUGGAACCAGGGUGUCUCCCUCCAAAGCCACACGGGCUCUGUUCUCUGAGGCAGAGGGUUAUCCGGCUCUGUCAAGAGGAAUUUCCUAAGUGAUUCUGGUCUGCACACAGAUGCACUGUGUCAGGUCAGUGACGUGUCUCGCUUUUAAAACAAAACAAUAUCCCUCACAGUUGUCCUCUUGUGCGUAGAUGGUGGCAAUUUAUUGUUUGCCAAGGCUUCUAUCUCCUCCCUUUCUGUGUUCCAUUGAGAUCAUGGAAAUGCAAAGUAAAUAGCCAUGGAGUAAAAUGCCUCAGAGAGUAUUUAUUUAAGAGUAUUGUUCCAGGAUAUGCACGGAGAUAAAGACUUUGUGUAAUGAAUGAGUGGCUCCCGAGGCCAAAUACCAAGCAAUCAUUUUCUGUGCCCUGCGUGUCCUGGCCAGAGGAGGUCCACUACCUCUCCUUCAGGACGUGCCCUUAAAGAGGGUCACCUUGCCAAGGGAAAGCCGGGCCUCUGAAUCCACAGGAGCAGGCAGGAGCUCAAGGAAAGGAGCAUAGGAAAAACCCCUGGGCACUGUCCGUUUGUCACAUGUCAAGGGGCAAAGCAGACAAACUAAAAUCAGUUCAAGAUCGAGCAAUGGGGAGACCCAGUGUGCCUGCUGAGCCAGCAUGCAGGGCAUCAGGCGGGAGGGAAAGGCCCGCCUGGAAAGCGCAGCAAGGGGCAGCCUGGCAAGUCCUGCCACCGGACAACGGGCAGCAAUAAGCUUGCUCCUCCUCUCGUCCUCUCGUUCUUCAAGGGCCCAAGGAAGGGAUAGCAGGGCUUGCUCUCUGUGCUGUGCAACCUCUCCGAGAGGGCAGGGAGGGCUGCUGUCCGUGUGCUGGUGGAAUCUGUCUCCACGCUCCCCUGUCCUCCGCAGAUGAAAGCCGACGCACACGCAGACAGAACACCGAGAGCCUCGUUUGGAAUGAAAUACAAAGCAGGAAGCACACAAAUGUCUCUGCAUAUUUAAUGAUUAUUGACUUUUUAGAUUGGUUUGAAAUAAAAGCUUUCUGGAUGAAAUACAGAUUUAGAAGGAUUACUAAAAAGUACAGCUUGCGCACCACACUUACUUUACAUGAAUUCCUCGCAUUUAUGCAUUAAGCCCUACCAUUCCCCUAAUUUCCCAUAAACAUGUAUCUGCAGUGCAAAUUGUUUUACUACUGAAAAUGCCAUCGAUGCAACCUAAUGGUAUAAUGAGCAGAGUUUUCAUAACAGACCUAUGUAUUCACAAUUGCAUACGGAAUGGGCUGGAAGGUGCUCGUGAAGAAAACACAAUUAGGCAAGGUGCUGUCUUCUCCAGGGACCCAGGCUCAUUGUUUUGCAUAAUAAGAAGGUAAAGAAUUGAGUUUUAUUGAUAUGGGAACACAUUUCAUUGUUCCUCUGAUUUAAAAUCUUCACCAAGUGAGUGGAUUAGACCCCCCAUUUCAUUAAAGCAGGGUUACUGGCCCUGCUUCAUUGUCAGUGUCCUGAUUCGCCCUGAGAAUCACUUUCCAUAUAGCUUCUUGUUACUUAAUUAUUACAGUGGGUAGUGAACAUAAAACUUACAUGGAUCUCUUGCUUUGUAAAAAUACACAGAAAGCAUGGUCUUUAUGUAUGGGGUGAGGAUAUAACAAAAGACUGUCUUCUUCUUCUUUUUAAUUAGAUGCCUAAGUGGGUGAAACCUUGAGAGCUCACAUACGACUUAAGAGAUUUUUCAUUAGUCACAUGAUUUUGGUUGUUCAUACAUAUCACACCAGCUCUCAGGUCAGAUGGAUACUAAAGAAAUGCCCAUUGCAUAGAUGGGAAAAUCGAGAGCAUUAGAUCAGUAACUCUCCCACGAAGAGAGACUGCAAAUUGAAAAACCAUGAGGAUCGGACAUGCUCCCGGCUUCUCAUCGGCUCCUAAACCCAAGUCAAUUAAAACAGUGGCAACGGGUUGCAAUCAAAGUUUUUAUUAAUUGAUAUCACAUACGGUGUUUUCAACUUCUCCUCUCUUAUUGUGGACCCAAGAAAGCCUUAUUUGUUUCUCUCCUGAAUAUUCUGUCCCACUUGGACGCUUGCCUGCUUCCCACAGAUGAUCCCUCACCUGUUGCUGCGGGCGGUGCAGCUGCCAGUGAGCGCUGGCUGCUCCAGGCCGCCCCCAAACCCACAGGCAUGGCUGCCAAGGGACCAGAGGGCAUACCUUCCUUUGACAUGCUCUGUCCCUUUUUCUAUCUAUCCUGGGAAAGGAACACUUGCUGCCCACAGGUCCUCAGUGUGAAGUGCUCUGGAAGCAAUACAAACCCUGAGAACAGAACUGCCGCUACCUGUUCCGGUUCAGCUGGGGUGGGGCCCAGCCUGGUUUACCACCCUGGUGAUGUCCUGUGCGUCCAGGAUGGAGAGCCCACUGCCCAGGCCCUGAGGGGGAGUGAUGUCCCCAGCUUGCAGAGGCUGCAGGGGCCCAGAGAGGCCCUCUAAUUAGUGCAGUCACACAGCUGAGUGCCGGAGCUCUGACGGCAGUCCUGGGCUUUCUGAGCCCAAAGUCAAUAGCCGGCAGUCAAUAGCUCUAGACUGGCUGAAUUCCAGAACCAUCCAAGAGGAUUCUACAAGGAUUGAUGCCUGGACCCAGACUGACAUCAGGCACCCUUAUUUUCAAAGUCCCCCAGAUGAAUCUAAUAUGAAACUGGAUUUGAAUACAACCUCACUAAUCUGAAAAUGACCACCUGCAUCAAAAUUCUGUGGGGUGCCUGUUAACAGCAUUCAUUCUAGGAAGCCACCCCAGGUCCCCCGGAUCAGAAUACACAGGGCAGAGGCAGUAUAUGGAAAAGGAUGUUCACACACACACACACACACACACACACACACACACACACACACCACCCCCCAUACCUACCCACACCACACACAUACACACACACACACACACAAAGUCACAGCUAACCACACGCAUACACAUACACACACACAGAUGUCUUUUGUGGUUGACCUGUGUAUUAAAAGAAAAUGAAUCUGGUGUCUCAGAAUACACUUAUUUUUAGACUGAAGACUCAUAGCAGAAAAUUGCACAGGAUUUCUCAUCUAUCAGCAAAGAUAUCUAAGUAUAGCCGUGUCUGUCAUUCCCUAGCAGGCAGAGUUGUGGGUCUGUCUGAAACGUUUCUAAUUUAGAUUAAUCUGGCUCUAUUCUUCCUCUUCUGGCCAGUUAGGGCAAAAUGGUAAAAUAAUCUUUGAUGCACAUUUUCUGAGCUCAUUGACCCAGAGAGCAGGGCAGGAGAGAACAGGAAACGGGCACAGAGGAAGGAAAGGAGAAGGCACUGCUGAAGACAAGCACGAAUGGAGGCUGGGAGCAGCAGCCCGUGGGGAUGGCGUUGGAGGAGGGGAGCCGGGUGCGGCCGGGGGGCUGCAGAAAGAUCUGGAAAAAGUGCAUCAGGAAAGAGGAAGAGCAUCCAGAGUCUCUUCAGUUUGGCCUGGUUGCCUCUUAUUUGCUCUGCAACAGUCCUGGGAAGGACACAGCACGUGUGCCACCAACUGUAGGUGGCCAACGAGAACGCCAUGGGUCAAAGGUCAAGGGCCCUGCCAGGAGUUGGAAGUGUCUUCUGUAACUGGACUUGAAGACAUACCACCUCUGUCCAGAGCUCCGAGCAGAUGGAGGUUUGGGAGUGAAGAUGGACACGAACUUUAACCAAAUGGAGCAAAAGACAGAUUCCAAGUAGGCAGUCAGCACAGAGCCGGGCAAAGGACCUAGUAUAUGAGGGGUCAGGCUUUGCGCCGUUUGGGAGCGUACCAAUAGCUUUGAUAAAUUUAUCAAAAUUGACUGCCCUUGUACUGUUCACCAUGUAAGAACUUAUUCACUAUGUAAGAAUUCGUUCACCAUGUAAGAACUUGUUCGUUAUGCUUCAGAAGAUUGGAGACUGAUGAGAA
Long non-coding RNA from Manis javanica (Malayan pangolin), 4191 nucleotides. RefSeq lists it as uncharacterized. NCBI's taxonomy places the organism in Eukaryota, Metazoa, Chordata, Mammalia, Pholidota, Manidae. The record is from RefSeq and is a predicted model, not a curated record.